AUUGAACGUUGGCGGCAUGCCUUACACAUGCAAGUCGAACGGCAGCACGGGAGCAAUCCUGGUGGCGAGUGGCGAACGGGUGAGUAAUAUAGCGGAACGUGCCCAGUCGUGGGGGAUAACGUAGCGAAAGCUACGCUAAUACCGCAUACGAUCUAUGGGUGGAAGGGGGGGAUCGCAAGACCUCGCGCGAUUGGAGCGGGCGAUAUCAGAUUAGGUAGUUGGUGAGGUAAAGGCUCACCAAGCCGACGACCUGUAGCUGGUCUGAGAGGACGACCAGCCACACUGGGACUGAGGCACGGCCCAGACUCCUACGGGAGGCAGCAGUGGGGAAUUUUGGACAAUGGGCGCAAGCCUGAUCCAGCAAUGCCGCGUGCAGGAUGAAGGCCUUCGGGUUGUAAACUGCUUUUGUACGGAACGAAACGGUGAGCUCUAAUACAGUUUGCUAAUGACGGUACCGUAAGAAUAAGCACCGGCUAACUACGUGCCAGCCGCCGCAGUAA
This 500-nucleotide ribosomal RNA is filed under the name uncultured bacterium. RNAcentral's name for it is "partial 16S ribosomal RNA". It matches the Rfam family "Bacterial small subunit ribosomal RNA", at positions 30 to 523 of the family's 1533-position model. The record is from RNAcentral.